UUUUUCACUUUGAUUUUCAUCACAAUUUUGGCUAGCUACAUUGCAACAGUACACAACAAAACUGAAUGUAGGGAUCGCAAAUGUAAGGAUCUGCAUCUGCAUAGGUUCUUUUGGGCCCUCAAGGCCCAAGUUUAUUGGGGCAGGCUACCUUCAAACUGCUCCAAGGCGCACCCCAAACACAAGUCCAGGAUAUUCAGGAUCCUAAUCCCUUUGUUAAUCACCCUGAUUAGCGUACAUAGGCUCAAAGUAGCCCAGUAUUAGCC
RNAcentral lists this long non-coding RNA (263 nucleotides) under Setaria italica (foxtail millet). Its description in RNAcentral is "long non-coding RNA (SITA_LNC001271)". The record is from RNAcentral. Lineage: Eukaryota; Viridiplantae; Streptophyta; Magnoliopsida; Poales; Poaceae.